AUUGAACGCUGGCGGCAGGCCUAACACAUGCAAGUCGAACGGUAACAGGAAGAAGCUUGCUUCUUUGCUGACGAGUGGCGGACGGGUGAGUAAUGUCUGGGAAACUGCCUGAUGGAGGGGGAUAACUACUGGAAACGGUAGCUAAUACCGCAUAACGUCGCAAGUCCAAAGAGGGGGACCUUCGGGCCUCUUGCCAUCGGAUGUGCCCAGAUGGGAUUAGCUAGUAGGUGGGGUAACGGCUCACCUAGGCGACGAUCCCUAGCUGGUCUGAGAGGAUGACCAGCCACACUGGAACUGAGACACGGUCCAGACUCCUACGGGAGGCAGCAGUGGGGAAUAUUGCACAAUGGGCGCAAGCCUGAUGCAGCCAUGCCGCGUGUAUGAAGAAGGCCUUCGGGUUGUAAAGUACUUUCAGCGGGGAGGAAGGGAGUAAAGUUAAUACCUUUGCUCAUUGACGUUACCCGCAGAAGAAGCACCGGCUAACUCCGUG
This 490-nucleotide ribosomal RNA is filed under the name uncultured bacterium. RNAcentral's name for it is "partial 16S ribosomal RNA". It matches the Rfam family "Bacterial small subunit ribosomal RNA", at positions 30 to 507 of the family's 1533-position model. The record is from RNAcentral.